This 425-nucleotide ribosomal RNA is filed under the name uncultured bacterium. RNAcentral describes it as "bacterial SSU rRNA". It matches the Rfam family "Bacterial small subunit ribosomal RNA", at positions 356 to 773 of the family's 1533-position model. The record is from RNAcentral.
GGGGAAUUUUGGACAAUGGGCGCAAGCCUGAUCCAGCAAUGCCGCGUGCAGGAAGAAGGCCUUCGGGUUGUAAACUGCUUUUGUCAGGGAAGAAAUCCUCUGGGUUAAUACCUCGGGGGGAUGACGGUACCUGAAGAAUAAGCACCGGCUAACUACGUGCCAGCAGCCGCGGUAAUACGUAGGGUGCGAGCGUUAAUCGGAAUUACUGGGCGUAAAGCGUGCGCAGGCGGUUGUGCAAGACAGGUGUGAAAUCCCCGGGCUUAACCUGGGAACUGCACUUGUGACUGCACAGCUAGAGUACGGUAGAGGGGGAUGGAAUUCCGCGUGUAGCAGUGAAAUGCGUAGAUAUGCGGAGGAACACCGAUGGCGAAGGCAAUCCCCUGGACCUGUACUGACGCUCAUGCACGAAAGCGUGGGGAGCAAAC